CCUAUAGCUGCGCGGAGGGACAUUACAGAGUUUUCUAACUCCCAAACCCAUGUGAACUUACCUUUGUUGCCUCGGCAGAAGCUACCCUGUAUCGCCGUUCAGGUUACCCUGUAGCAAUAUUCUGCCGGUGGACUAUUCAACUCUUGUUAUUUUAUUGUAAUCUGAGCGUCUUAUUUUAAUAAGUCAAAACUUUCAACAACGGAUCUCUUGGUUCUGGCAUCGAUGAAGAACGCAGCGAAAUGCGAUAAGUAAUGUGAAUUGCAGAAUUCAGUGAAUCAUCGAAUCUUUGAACGCACAUUGCGCCCAUUAGUAUUCUAGUGGGCAUGCCUGUUCGAGCGUCAUUUCAACCCUUAAGCCUAGCUUAGUAUUGGGAGUCUACUGUAUUGUAGUUCCUCAAAUUCAACGGCGGAUCUGUGGUAUCCUCUGAGCGUAGUAAAUUUUUAUCUCGCUUUUGUUAGGUGCUACAGCUCCCAGCCGCUAAACCCCCAAUUUUUAAUGGUUGACCUCGGAUCAGGUAGGAAUACCCGCUGAACUUAAGCAUAUCAAUAAGUCGGGAGGAGGCUA
This 564-nucleotide ribosomal RNA is filed under the name Seiridium sp. 1 J22. Its description in RNAcentral is "eukaryotic LSU rRNA". The stretch from base 188 to 341 matches the Rfam family "5.8S ribosomal RNA". The record is from RNAcentral. Lineage: Eukaryota; Fungi; Ascomycota; Sordariomycetes; Amphisphaeriales; Sporocadaceae.